Long non-coding RNA from Poecilia latipinna (sailfin molly), 140 nucleotides. RefSeq lists it as uncharacterized. The record is from RefSeq and is a predicted model, not a curated record. Lineage: Eukaryota; Metazoa; Chordata; Actinopteri; Cyprinodontiformes; Poeciliidae. The transcript has 3 exons.
CUUUUAGCGUCACUUCGAAGGAAAGCUUAAAGAAAGGUAAGAUCUGUGGACGUGAUGCUAGCAAAGCUAGCUAUACAGAGAUACAUGUUGCAUCUGCCAUGAAAAAAAGUUGUCACUCAUGCGCUGAAUGAUUGUGUGGA